UAGGGAAUAUUGCACAAUGGGGGAAACCCUGAUGCAGCGACGCCGCGUGAGUGAUGAAGGCCUUCGGGUCGUAAGGCUCUGUCGUAUGGGACUAACAAAAUGAAGGUACCAUGCAAGAAAGGAUCGGCUAACUUCGUGCCAGCAGCCGCGGUAAGACGAGGGAUCCUAGCGUUGUUCGGAAUUAUUGGGCGUAAAGCGGGUGUAGGCGGACUUAUAAGUCAGGUGUGAAAUCCCAGGGCUCAACCCUGGAAGUGCACUUGAUACUGCAAGUCUUGAGUGUGGUAGAGGCUAUUAGAAUUCCUGGUGUAGUGGUGAAAUACGUAGAUAUCAGGAGGAAUACCGGAGGCGAAGGCGGAUAGCUGGGCCAACACUGACGCUGAGACCCGAAAGCGUGGGGAUCAAACAGGAUUAGAUACCCUGGUAGUCCCUGAGCGGGCUGGCAAGGCGCAU
RNAcentral lists this ribosomal RNA (450 nucleotides) under uncultured bacterium. RNAcentral's name for it is "bacterial SSU rRNA". It matches the Rfam family "Bacterial small subunit ribosomal RNA", at positions 355 to 825 of the family's 1533-position model. The record is from RNAcentral.